Poecilia reticulata (guppy) is the source of this 1335-nucleotide non-coding RNA. The record is from RefSeq and is a predicted model, not a curated record. NCBI's taxonomy places the organism in Eukaryota, Metazoa, Chordata, Actinopteri, Cyprinodontiformes, Poeciliidae.
GUUCCGUUGAAGCGAAGCUGCAUCAAACCAUAACAAGACGCUUCACAUCUCAUAAUUUCUCCUGUUAACAGAGAACCAUUCUUCUGCUGCUGGUCUGCCUCUCCUAGACCGAACCUGUAACACACGUACCUAUAUGGCCGGAAGGUAACUCAUCCAUCUUGACCAAGCAAGAUUAAAUUUGAACUACUCAAAGCCAUCUUCAAUUUAUUUUCAAUCUCCUUGAAGCCUUUAACUUCCCUCUGUUUGAAACCCUCAGUCAUUUGAUCAUGACACGAGACAGAGACCAUCCUACCUUAAUAUAAGGAAUUCUUUCGAGUGAUUGAGUAUUCAAAGCAUAAAACAAAGUCAUAAGACCAGAUAUAAUAUUUAUUUGAUAUGGAAAUGCUUGCAGAUAUGCAUUGCAAGAACUAUCUUUUGAAAUAAAAGAAGAGGUUAAAGAAAGACGGGUCAGUUGUCGUUUCACGUCGACUACAAAGGAUGAAAGAAGAAAAAAAUCUUCAUCAUGAGUACGAGUGACAGGAAGUGUGAAACACAACACACACACACACCUUCGUUUUUUCUGUUUCUGUUUAGAAAAGAACAAGGAACCUGUCUGCAUGGACAACACACACAUACACACACCACAAUUGAAAAAAAAACUGAGCUGUUAACUACCAGUUAUCAGUUUCAUUCACUUUAACACACUCUUUAAUAAAAAGAACAGGAAGUGCACCGCUACCAUACUCCCACAACACGGCAAGCACAGAAAUGUAUCAAUAUUCAUGGCUAUAUAAAAUUUAUAUAGAUUUAUUAUAGACAGUAACUUAUAUCAAGCAUUUAUAUAUAUUAAAUUUGACAUUUAUGGCAUACACGUAAGGAUAAACCCAAACUCAGUUAAAAAAAAUUAUAAAAGAUUUUAACACAAUAAUAGGAAAAACUUUACAGUUGACAUUGACACUCCCAAGAAGUUUUGCAAGUUGCAAAAUACAUUUACAAAAGAAGCUGACUGUGUGUGGUAUAAAGAAACAGUAGUAUAAAAUGGAAAGUUAAGUGAAAGGGAAAAAAAAAUCAUAGAAAUGAUGUGUAGAAGCAGAAAUGACUUGAGCCUUGCAUGUGUAGAACAAACUCUGCAGCCAUGCUUUCUGCACUCAUAAGAUUCACUCUGAGACCUCGUUUUAAAAAGUGCAGAUGUCAGAAACUGAUUACUGGAGAUGAGCUGCUGGAUUGUAAUAUAAUUGUUAUGGUUUCACUGAAAACGGGGGAUUAAUACCAGUGUUUCAGCAGCUGACAUUCAGUUUGUUAGAACUACCAGUUCACAUUUUAUUUGCAAAUAAAUCAGAUACUCACAUACACUGC